This 8478-nucleotide long non-coding RNA is filed under the name Linum usitatissimum (flax). RNAcentral describes it as "long non-coding RNA (LUSI_LNC004571)". Lineage: Eukaryota; Viridiplantae; Streptophyta; Magnoliopsida; Malpighiales; Linaceae. The record is from RNAcentral.
AAGAAUGUUUGCGAGUAUUGUGUUGGGAAGUAUAGUUCUUUUGCGCCUGGGGCCGGCUUGCUCAAGUCCUGAAUCAAUGCCUUGUUUCUCUUGUAGAGGUCUGAGUUUCUGUAAAUAUCAGCAAAAUCAACUCCCAUUGCUAUUUCUUGUGUUGUGGUAGUGACUUCCAACAUCCAGGUAGCUGGGUUGUAUCCGUCGGUGAUUUUGCUAACUCCGUCGAUCUCCUCAAAGUAUUUGACAAGAUGGGUAGAGUGGCGUCCCAAUGGACCCACAUAUAUCUCUUGUCCUCCUCUCUUCAACAAGAACAACUGCAACCCAAAAUAACCACAAACCAGUUGUUAGAAUGAUGAAAUGUGGAACCAAUUUUACUAAUCUUGCAUAACAAGUUAUUUGACUUACCUCAUCAAAAGCUUCAAAGAUAUCAAUACUUGGCUGAUGAAUGGUACAAACAACAGUUCUACCGGUAUCCACAGUGUUUCUGACUGCUCUCAUGACGAUUGCAGCAGCUCUAGCGUCCAACCCUGAGGUUGGCUCAUCCAUGAAGAUGAUCGACGGGUUUGCCACCAAUUCGACAGCAAUGGUUAACCUCUUCCUUUGCUCGGUUGUCAACCCACUUACACCGGGGAGCCCCACCAGUGAAUUACGCAACGGGUUUAGCUCCACAAGCUCCAUUACUUCUUCAACAAACAUCUGCAAGAUCAUUGAAACAGUUAGAACCUUUCUAAGCUUUCCUACACACAACAAUUUAAUUGAAAAGUUGAAUGAAAGAUUGAAACUUUACCAUUCUGGUCUUCUCAUCAACUUCUUUGGGCAAACGGAGCCAAGCUGAGUAUACCAAAGAUUCAUACACUGUAACUUGUGGAGAAUGGAUGUCAUUCUGCUCACAAUACCCUGAAACCCUAGCAAAAGUCUCUUGCUUCUUAGGGAAUCCAGAUACCGUGAUGUUUCCUUCAAUGUAGCCACCAGUUUUCCUUCCAGCCAGCACAUCCAUAAGUGUGGUUUUACCGGCACCACUAACUCCCAUUAGAGCAGUCAACACACCCGGCCUGAAUGCACCACUAACCUUCUUCAGAAGAACCAAUUUAUCUUCAGCUACGCCUUGUGCUUUCAUCUCCGCUGGCAUGUCAACAGAGUACACAACAUCGUCGAAAGUGAUGGAGUGAGGCUCAAAUGGAAGAACCAUUCCCCUCUUCUUGCUUUCACUGACCUCAUCAUCAUUUGCUGCAGUUAUGGCACUACCGGCACUUCUGUGUUGUGACAUCUCAACAGCUCCUGCAGAAGUGCUUGAUUCGAUGGAAUCUUCAGAUAUGACAGCCUGAGGUUUCUCGAAUUCUGUCAAAAUGAAACACGCAGUAUUAGAAUCAUUGAGUGAACAACAAGUUUCUUGCUCUUCGAACCAUGCACUUGUGUGAAAGGAGGUUACUUACGGUCGAAGAAAGUAAGAGCCAUAGCAUACAAGAUGUUGAACAAGAAAAGGAACCCGAUCGAUGCUCCUACUCCAAGCCAAUACCAAUGCGGCUCAGUGAAGAACCCACGCGACUUCAACACUUGAAGUCCUAGCGAUUCCGUUGAGUUGGCAGGAAUCUGAAUCCACGAGAACAAAAAGGAGACAAUCAGGAAUGAAAAGAAACGAACAAAACAGAAGAUGAAGUGAAUGACAGGAGGAAGGAAGAUUACAUGUCUCCAACUGUUUCCAAGGAACUCGUUUACAAUCAAUGCAUUUUGCCCGUACAUCAUAGGCGAUGCCCAAUAAGCCCAAAUCCACCAUUUCUUCACAUCCUCUGUGAUAGUAAGAAAAAAGGCAAUGUUAAGACAUACAAAUUACAUCAAAAUUUGUAAUGUAAGAAAAAAGCAGUAGCAAGCAAACCUCUUGAUAGGAUGAAUCCACUCAGCACAAACAAUAGGAGCAGAACAAAUGAACCAAAGGUGUUGGCAACAAUCAUGUUCCUUCCAGUUGCGGCAAUGAAGCGAAAGAGAGCAGAUGCCAUCUGGUUGAUGGCUACCAGCAGUACAUACAUCCUUAUCAUCCUGCAAAACAUUAACAAUGUUGUUGUAAGUAUGGAAAGUUUUGAUGAUUUAUCCCAAGUUUGAGAAAGAGAUCAGUAAGUUACCUUCCAAAGUUGGAAUCAAAUCCAAUGACAUAGUAAGUGAGGAAGACCCAAACAGCAACCUCGAGGAAGGUGACCGGAAUUUUCAGGAUCCAAGGGGGAAUGGAGUAAACCCAUGGAGGGUAGAAAAACAGAUUCCGUUGCUUGUAGAACACUGGAAGCUUUGCAAUGGUCAUGGAAAGUUCCGCCAUUCCAUUGAACAUGAUCAUAAUCAACGAAAAGAAGAGUGCUCCCACGAAUAUUCCACCGUCAUUGACUGAGUCUCGGUGCAUCUCCGUCCUGAAGAAUACGGUCAUGGCCAGCAGUGCCAUGAUAAAGAGCUGUGUUUUUUACCAAGUAAGAGUUAGCAAGGAGGGAAAGUGCAAUCCUUUUCACUUAAUGAAAUUUCUAAUUCUUGCUUAAUACUUACUUGAGUCAGCUUGAAGACAUAGACGAAGGAGUUUCUUUUCAUGAGCAAGAACUCCCUUGAGAAGCUAGCCUUAAGAAGCUCCUUGUUUCCGAUUCCAUAUUUCUUGGUAGCCAAGGCAGCAGGGUGGCUCUUGGUCCUGUCAUAAGGAACUGUGAGCUCAUCUGCGAUUUUCCUACCGACAUGAAAAGAUUGGAAUGCUUCAGCAAACUCCUUCGUCGUUACAAAACGAUAAGGCUGGUCCCUUCUUGCCCAAUACUGCUUCUGGUCUUUCUUAGAUGUGACCUGACAAAAAAUUAUAUUCAUAAUGUUAAUCAUGGGAUACUAAUGAAAAUUGGAUUUUUUUUAUGUUAUGAGAAAUAGAUACUCACUUCUUGUAAGAAAUCAGCAACUCCUUUCCUGUCAGGACACUUGAAUCCCAUCUGCUGGAAGAAUUCGAGAACGUUUUCGCGGGGGCCCUGAUACACAACUUGACUAUCCGACAGCAGGAUAAUGUCAUCAAAGAGAUCAUAUGUCUCCGGAGCAGGCUGAAGGAGAGAAAUGACAUUAGUUCCAUUCAAGAUGUGAUUGGAUUGUUUCAGUGAGUUCACGAUCUGGAAAGUAGUUGAACUAUCCAACCCAGUUGAUAUUUCAUCCAUAAACAAGGCCCUGGCUGGUCCAACAAGCAUUUCACCAGUAGUGACACGCUUCCUUUGUCCUCCAGAGAUACCUCUGAUCAUUUCAUCUCCCACGAGAGUGUCUGCGCAAACUUCUAGCCCCAAAAUCUAUACGAUCCCACAAGAGAUAAACAUAUUAGACACUUGCCAAGCUUCAUUAUUUCCCAACUCUAUGUCAAGAGUAACUAGGAACUUAAUGGUGAUUCAGAAACAAAAAAAAGCUAGGAACUUUAUGUUACCUUCAAAACGUAGUCUGUGACCACAUUGCUCUCUAAACCUUCUGUUGCAGCAGCCUAUACAAAAGGAAAUCUAUCAGUUCAUAACUAUUUUCAACUGCAGAUUAAAUCGUCUUGCCUAAAUGUUGAGACAGAAUAUUUGGUACAUAAUUAUCUGUAUACAAUAUGUUCUUUUUCCUCCUCCAUGAAGACACUUUACUCACCUUCAUGAAGACAUCAAUGUCAGGAUCAGGCUUAAUAUUUGCUGCCUUUUCUCUUCUAGACAACUCAGCCAACAUAUCUGCAAUUUCAUUCCCAAACUUUUGGUUCAUAUUUUGAAAAAUAAAGAAACGUAUGGACAAAGGAAUCAAACAAGAAAAAAGACACUAACCAUGAAGAGAACCAACUCCUUGGACUCUGGCUGCAAAAGCCAAAGUCUCCCUAACAGUCAACUCUCCCAUAUGAAGAUCAUGCUGACUAAUAUAAGCUGAAGUUUUCUGGGGAAUGAACUCAUUCAUAUCAUGUCCAUUGUAAGUAACCCUCCCUGAAACCUUCAGAUUCGGAUCCAGCCUUCCCGCCAAAGCCAGCAACAAACUUGUUUUCCCAGAACUUGGUGGACCCAGAAGCAGAGUCAAUCUGUUCAUUGUUGAACCCCAAUCAAAAUAAAUAAAACAUAGUUUCAGAUCCAAGAAACUUGUGAAUCAAAAUUUCAUCAAAUUUCCUUCUCAACCAACUCACCUCCCUGGCUUGAUGACUCCACUAACAUCGUUAAGGAUCGUCAGAUGUCUCUUCUUACUUGGAAGUAGAUGCAACAGAUCGAAGAUACCCUAUUCGAAAAGAAACAAUUUGUCUUCAUCAGAUUUUCCUCGACUCCCAUGUUGUGGACGUCGAUCUCGCUGAGCUCUGUUUUCGAAGCGCUGGCCAAAAUGCCUUUCCUGAGACGGUCGUAAGUUGGGAGCUUCUCAAGAGCUGCCCAUUUCAGAGCUUCCUCGUCGUCUUCCUCCCUCGAAGAGGAAGAAAAGACGUCGGAAGGGUUGUUCCUCCAAACGGAAGCAGAGCCUCCUCGCCGGAGACUGUUCCUCGCCUUGAUAAGGUCGCCGCCUUCCAUUUUACUUUACCAGGGCGAUGCUCAAGUGGAAGAAAGAAUGAACAAAUGUAAAUUUGAAUGUUUUGCCUGAAAAGAAAACGAAAAGAGGUGCAAAAUCUGAGAGGUUUUGUUGAAAUGGAAGUGAUUUUAUUUUGUUGUUUGAAAAAUUGAAGCAGGGUUUUAUAGGGAGAGAAGGAAGCGAGAAGUCUGAAAGGCUCUCAUUGGGUAUUUCUAGGAAAGUUGUACGUGGACCGUGGUUGAGUCUGGCGGCUGAUUGAAUUGUCAAACUUUGAAUAUUUGAAUAUACAUGUUUUAGUCCCUUUACUAUGUAAACGUAACAGUUAACCUCACCUAGAAUAUUUUGAUUGCAGUGAGCCCCAUACUUCGUAACUUUUUAACAAAAAUAGGCACCAGUUAUUUUUUCCAUCCAUCCACCUACAGUUAAAAUUACUGAGUGAUCAACCGAUGAAUCGGUCAUUUUUCUUAUUUAGUGAACGAUUGGGAUAUGUCUCAGUAGAGUUGCUUCAGUGAUAGGGUGUGUGUCUAGUGAUCUGGAAGUUUCGGGUUCGAAUCCAGCAUAUCCUACGAAAUGAACACCAUGUUGUGUUUACUUUAUUUAUGUCUCUUAUCUUGUAUUAACCAGAAUCUCGAUUUACUCUAGAAAAAAAUUAUUAGAAUAUUCACUAACAUAAAAUUAUAACAAAAUUUAUAAUAUUUUUAUUUAUUACUGGUGAGAAGCGUAGGAAAAUUAUCGAAAAGGCACCAUGUCUAAAGGAGGUACUUGCUCAACAAGUGAAGCUAGAGUUGAUGUGCCCAAAGAUGUUCAAUUUGGUGGUUAUCUCAUGUAAUUAUGUUUUGUUCCUUUUCUUGUUCUAUAAUUUCUACUUCUUUUUAGCUGGAUAAUGCUAUUGUUGUUUAUUUAUUAAAUAUACAAUAUUUGUCUUAAUUAUCCUUUUAUUAUUUAUAUUUUGAUUUAAAUUAAGUACAUCAGUCAUCCAUUAUGUGAGCACAACAAUUAAUUAGACAUUUUGAGUCGUCGAUUAGUGGAUGAAUGGAAACGCUAGCGGAUGGGCUUGUUUCUUAAAAGUUAUAAAGUAGAGGGGAUCAUUUUGUUUAGAAAGUGGUAGGAAUUUUUUGUUAUCAUUGAAUAGUUGAGGGGCUAAAAUACAUAUUAACCCGAUUGAAUAUUUGUUGUUUUCAUACAUUAUUGGAGAUUUGGAGUCGGCUUUCAAACAGAGAGAGAGAGAGAGAGAGAGAGAGGAUAAGUCAAGUUCUUCUUGAAGAUGGGGAUGGGUCAAGAUGGAAGGCGGGAAAGAUGAUUAAACGUAUUAUUUAAAUAUGUGAAAUGAUAUUUAUGAUAAGACAAGAGGUGGACAUAGCUGCAAUAAUACCAAAGGUUUCAAAGCAGAUUAGAUAUUUUUAGGACAAAUUAGACUUCUAAUUCAACUACUUGCUUAACAUUUCACAUUGGGUUAGUCUCUGAACAACGUCUUUUAACUUUGGGUUUAUACACAUCGACGCCACCUUUUACCAUGCAAAAUCAUCAAAAACACUACUGCAUUCAGGGGGGGAAAGAGUACAAAGGAGAAAAAGAAAGAAACCCAGAAACUAUUUUGGAUGGAGGUAUCAAGAUUCAAGAAACCCAAACUCCAUGGGUUUCAAGAUCACAACUCUCUCUUGCCGCUAAAGGUAUUCGAUAGUUUUAGAUUAGAUGUUAUUUUUGUAAGCUUUUAAUCACGCUAAAGAAGAUCGUGUAAGGUUGAUACUGUAAACAUUGAGAAAAUAGUAUGGUUAACUUUUUUAUUACAACUCGUAAAUUUUCGUCCAUCCCGUAUCAAAUUUUUUAUUAUGCUCGUGAUUUAUUGUAUGGGUUGAAUCAGUAGUUAUCAAAAUGAGGUGUUAGUGUUACAUUGUCCAGUGGUCAAAAUACCUAACUCAUAAUCUAUGUGCCAUAAUUAAAUUUGUUUCGAGUUCCGACCAAACAAAUUUUCCACUACUAACUCGUAAAUAUUGUCAAAAUUAAAACCAAGUAAUGACCCAUCGUAAUCUUUUGUUUUUUACACAAAAUGGGUAUGCUGUCUACAUAAAUUUAGUCAUUUGGCAGCAACCAGUUUAAAUUAAUAAUGACACGAUAUAGGAACGGAUUUAGGGGUGAGUUUCUUGAAUACUUGUCCUUCCUUUUUUCAGGGUUCAAAAUGAUAAAUUUAAUUAUAAAUUAGAAUACUUUAUAUUUCGGACUAAUAAUAUUUUAAAUUUAGCCACGUAUUAUUUUUUAUCUUGAAUCGCUCCCUACGUAGACGAUGUGUAUGUUGUACACAAAUAUCUCUUUUGUGGUGAAAGGAAUGUAUGGGGAGAGUUUUAAUGGUGGAGAAUGUUGGGUAAAAAACAGAGUGUGGAACUGGGAAAAUAGACAAAAUCGUUUGGAAAUUUUGGUUAUUAAGCAAUUAAACAUAUUAACAAGGCAGACGACGUUGGGGUGGAAUUGUUGGUGCUUUUAAAUAUAUGUGAGAUGCAUCGGUUUAGGCGGUGAAACUUUGUUAACUUAAGACGACCAAUUCCAUGCAAAUGAAUGCAGUUCACAAUGACUUGAGACGCACUCAAAUACUUUUACUGCUGCUGCUACUUAUCUCGCAAUGAAUCAAAAAUAAAAAUGGUCUGCAACCGUCACUAGCUAGUACAUGAAUCAUAAGAAAAGUGGGUAGCCGAAAGAAAUAUAUAGUUUGAUAUCGUUUCUUUGUUGGGUGUUUCCUUGAUUCCUUCUCUCAUCUUCUCUGGAAGUUGAAAGACUUGAUUGACACGGCAAAGAUCAGAGCAAAGACAACUGCUAAUCCAACCAUAACAGCAGCAACAACUCCCAGGAAAUCAUGCUUGAACCCGAAGUAAUUCCUCAGGAAAUCUUCAACAGCUUCUCCAGACUCCAUUCGGGUCCUUAAAUCUCCAAACUGCGAAGUAAUCAGCCCGUACAAUGUCCACGAGAUCGGGUCGGCCCAGUAGUUCCAUCUCCACCACACCGGAAUCCUCUGCACACCAUUUCAUAACCAAGUUAAAAAAUAUGUGAAUGGAAGAAAGAUUGCAAAAUUUGGAAUUGAGAUUAAAUGUUAAAGUUGAACUUACAGGUCUGGGGAUGAUGAAUCCGGCGAAUAUGUUCCAGAUGGAGUAAAAGAAGGAAGAGAUGAUGCCAGCAAUGUGGUGGUUUGGUGUGAUUGCGACUGUCAUCAUUCCGUAAAAGGUGAAGUAGAGGAGGGUGAAGUACAUGAAGAAGAUGUACCAUAGGAACUUUGCAGCCUCGCAUUCGAACCCAAUCAUUGCGUAUGUGAUCACACCGUACACAACUGCUUGUGCCAGGAUGUACGGAAGCUCAAUCACCACCUGAGCGUAGGCAUAAGGCAAAGCUGAGUACAUUCCUGCAGCUCGCUCUCGGUAGAACACUGUUCUUUCAAUGGCUACCACGGGCUGUACUGAUGAUGCAUUUUGGACACCGAGGAAGAGCACUGCUGCGAACAUUGCUCCCAUUGCGUUGAAAAGGUCUUGUUGUCUCGAUCUGUGUUUGUCGAAAAAGGAACAGCCAUAUAAGCAAAUGCAACAUGUUCAUAAAACGAAGGUCAAAGGCCAUAAAAUGAUGUAAAAGACUCACGUUUUGCCACCAAGAUCCCAGAACAUGGUUCCGAACAUGAGAGCGAUGAAGGUAGUGAACAAGAAUCUGACAGCAGUGUAGGGAGGAUUACGCCAGUAAGACCAAUCCUGCUCCCACAAGCAAGCCAUGCAUUGUGUCCAGAAUGUCUGUGAGUAUUGUGUUGGGAAAUAUAGCUCUUUUGCUCCUGGGGCUGGCUUGCUCAAGUCCUGAAUCAAUGCCUUAUUUCUCUUGUAGAGGUCUGAGUUCCUGUAAAUAUCAGCAAAGUCAACUCCCAUCGCUAUUUCUUGAGUUGUGGUAGUGACUUCCAGCAUCCAUGUAGCUGGAUUGUAUCCAUCAGUGAUUUUGCUAACUCCAUCAAUCUCCUCAAAGUAU